This is a long non-coding RNA of Canis lupus familiaris (dog), 680 nucleotides long. RefSeq lists it as uncharacterized. The transcript is spliced from 4 exons. NCBI's taxonomy places the organism in Eukaryota, Metazoa, Chordata, Mammalia, Carnivora, Canidae. The record is from RefSeq and is a predicted model, not a curated record.
AUUCUCUGUGGCAGACAAGCAACUGUUGCUAAGUGGGACCAUGAUUCAAGAUCUUUCCUGAACUUUCUGUCAUAUGUGGCUCAGUUUUUAGGCCUUAGGUCCUGGCACUGUUGCCUGGCAAGUUCUGAGUCCUGCAUCCUAUCUUUCAUCCUCAAAGGGCCAACCAGGAAACCAGGCUCUGCAUCUUGCCUCCCUAGGGAACAGACACCUGAGAGCACGGUACAUGCCGUGAAUAUACAUCAGGGAGGGGAGGGCACAGGCAGACUCAUUUCUGAAGGCAAAAAUCUAAGGACCUCAGAAGGGACUCUUCUCACCCCAACAGCCUCCUAAGCUGGAUCAUGUUAUCCUCAGAAGGAGGGAUCAUCUACUUCUGGAGUCAGUGCCUUUCCAAGUUUCCCUUGCUGGCUCAAGAUGGUGGUGUGGUUUGACGACGACAAAACGAUGGGGCCAUCACAAUAUAAGACAUGAAGGGAGACCCGCAGGAAACUUUUGUAAGAUGAUGGUGACUGAUGACACUCUCCUGUCUGUCCAUGAAGAGAAUAGCGUGUGUGUGCGUGUAUGUGUGUGUGCAGACAUGUACAUGCUCAAGUGCACAUACACACAGUUUGUCUGCAGGGAGCCAAGACACAAGCCACCAUCCUGACCCAAUCUCAUAUAACGAAUAAAAUAAAAAUAUUCAG